GAUGAACGCUGGCGGCGUGCCUAAUACAUGCAAGUCGAGCGAACGGACGAGAAGCUUGCUUCUCUGAUGUUAGCGGCGGACGGGUGAGUAACACGUGGAUAACCUACCUAUAAGACUGGGAUAACUUCGGGAAACCGGAGCUCAUACCGGAUGAUAUUUUGAACCGCAUGGUUCAAAAGUGAAAGACGGUCUUGCUGUCACUUAUAGGUGGAUCCGCGCUGCAUUAGCUAGUUGGUAAGGUAACGGCUUACCAAGGCAACGAUGCAUAGCCGACCUGAGAGGGUGAUCGGCCACACUGGAACUGAGACACGGUCCAGACUCCUACGGGAGGCAGCAGUAGGGAAUCUUCCGCAAUGGGCGAAAGCCUGACGGAGCAACGCCGCGUGAGUGAUGAAGGUCUUCGGAUCGUAAAACUCUGUUAUUAGGGAAGAACAUAUGUGUAAGUAACUGUGCACAUCUUGACGGUACCUAAUCAGAAAGCCACGGCUAACUACGUG
This 497-nucleotide ribosomal RNA is filed under the name uncultured bacterium. Its description in RNAcentral is "partial 16S ribosomal RNA". It matches the Rfam family "Bacterial small subunit ribosomal RNA", at positions 28 to 507 of the family's 1533-position model. The record is from RNAcentral.